GGUCUCGUGGCCUAAUGGAUAAUGCGUUGGUCUUCGGAAUCUAAGACUAUGGGUUCGAGUCCCAUCGAGAUCG
Molecule: non-coding RNA, 73 nt
Organism: Perkinsus marinus ATCC 50983
Lineage: Eukaryota; Perkinsozoa; Perkinsida; Perkinsidae
Source: Rfam